GGACGAUUAGCUCAGUUGGUUAGAGCACCUCGCUUACACCGAGGGUGUCGGGGGUUCGAGUCCCUCAUCGUCCACCA
RNAcentral lists this transfer RNA (77 nucleotides) under Lacunisphaera sp. RNAcentral describes it as "tRNA-Val". It matches the Rfam family "tRNA". From Rfam's summary of the family: Transfer RNA (tRNA) molecules are approximately 80 nucleotides in length. Their secondary structure includes four short double-helical elements and three loops (D, anti-codon, and T loops). The record is from RNAcentral. RNAcentral also lists the same sequence under 7 other names. Lineage: Bacteria; Pseudomonadati; Verrucomicrobiota; Opitutia; Opitutales; Opitutaceae.